This 73-nucleotide transfer RNA is filed under the name Danio rerio (zebrafish). It matches the Rfam family "tRNA". From Rfam's summary of the family: Transfer RNA (tRNA) molecules are approximately 80 nucleotides in length. Lineage: Eukaryota; Metazoa; Chordata; Actinopteri; Cypriniformes; Danionidae. The record is from Rfam by way of RNAcentral.
GGCCCAGUGGCCUAAUGGAUAAUGCAUCAGCGUUCGAGGCUGAGAAUUGUGGGUUUAAGUCCCAUUUGGGUUG